GAUAAACGCUGGCGGCGUGCCUAAUACAUGCAAGUCGAGCGAACGGACGAGAAGCUUGCUUCUCUGAUGUUAGCGGCGGACGGGUGAGUAACACGUGGAUAACCUACCUAUAAGACUGGGAUAACUUCGGGAAACCGGAGCUAAUACCGGAUAAUAUUUUGAACCGCAUGGUUCAAAAGUGAAAGACGGUCUUGCUGUCACUUAUAGAUGGAUCCGCGCUGCAUUAGCUAGUUGGUAAGGUAACGGCUUACCAAGGCAACGAUGCAUAGCCGACCUGAGAGGGUGAUCGGCCACACUGGAACUGAGACACGGUCCAGACUCCUACGGGAGGCAGCAGUAGGGAAUCUUCCGCAAUGGGCGAAAGCCUGACGGAGCAACGCCGCGUGAGUGAUGAAGGUCUUCGGAUCGUAAAACUCUGUUAUUAGGGAAGAACAUAUGUGUAAGUAACUGUGCACAUCUUGACGGUACCUAAUCAGAAAGCCACGGCUAACUACGUGCCAGCAGCCGCGGUAAUACGUAGGUGGCAAGCGUUAUCCGGAAUUAUUGGGCGUAAAGCGCGCGUAGGCGGUUUUUUAAGUCUGAUGUGAAAGCCCACGGCUCAACCGUGGAGGGUCAUUGGAAACUGGAAAACUUGAGUGCAGAAGAGGAAAGUGGAAUUCCAUGUGUAGCGGUGAAAUGCGCAGAGAUAUGGAGGAACACCAGUGGCGAAGGCGACUUUCUGGUCUGUAACUGACGCUGAUGUGCGAAAGCGUGGGGAUCAAACAGGAUUAGAUACCCUGGUAGUCCACGCCGUAAACGAUGAGUGCUAAGUGUUAGGGGGUUUCCGCCCCUUAGUGCUGCAGCUAACGCAUUAGGCACUCCGCCUGGGGAGUACGACCGCAAGGUUGAAACUCAAAGGAAUUGACGGGGACCCGCACAAGCGGUGGAGCAUGUGGUUUAAUUCGAAGCAACGCGAAGAACCUUACCAAAUCUUGACAUCCUUUGACAACUCUAGAGAUAGAGCCUUCCCCUUCGGGGGACAAAGUGACAGGUGGUGCAUGGUUGUCGUCAGCUCGUGUCGUGAGAUGUUGGGUUAAGUCCCGCAACGAGCGCAACCCUUAAGCUUAGUUGCCAUCAUUAAGUUGGGCACUCUAAGUUGACUGCCGGUGACAAACCGGAGGAAGGUGGGGAUGACGUCAAAUCAUCAUGCCCCUUAUGAUUUGGGCUACACACGUGCUACAAUGGACAAUACAAAGGGCAGCGAAACCGCGAGGUCAAGCAAAUCCCAUAAAGUUGUUCUCAGUUCGGAUUGUAGUCUGCAACUCGACUACAUGAAGCUGGAAUCGCUAGUAAUCGUAGAUCAGCAUGCUACGGUGAAUACGUUCCCGGGUCU
This 1372-nucleotide ribosomal RNA is filed under the name uncultured bacterium. Its description in RNAcentral is "bacterial SSU rRNA". It matches the Rfam family "Bacterial small subunit ribosomal RNA", at positions 28 to 1381 of the family's 1533-position model. The record is from RNAcentral.